RNAcentral lists this ribosomal RNA (421 nucleotides) under uncultured bacterium. RNAcentral's name for it is "bacterial SSU rRNA". It matches the Rfam family "Bacterial small subunit ribosomal RNA", at positions 54 to 457 of the family's 1533-position model. The record is from RNAcentral.
CAUGCAAGUCGUACGAGAAAUCCUGGGCGACUGGGAGAGUAAAGUGGCGCACGGGUGAGUAACGCGUGGACAACUUGCCCCUCAAUUAGGGAUAACUCUUCGAAAGGAGCGCUAAUACCUAAUAUUAUUCUAAUUCCUUCGGGAAUGAGAAUGAAAGGUGGCCUAUGCAUGCAAGCUACUGUUGAGGGAUGGGUCCGCGUACCAUUAGCUAGUUGGUAGGGUAAUGGCUUGCCAAGGCGACGAUGGUUAGCUGGUCUAAGAGGAUGGCCAGCCACACUGGAACUGAGACACGGUCCAGACUCCUACGGGAGGCAGCAGUGGGGAAUAUUGCGCAAUGGGCGAAAGCCUGACGCAGCAACGCCGCGUGCGGGAAGAAGGCCUUCGGGUUGUAAACCGCUUUCAGUAGGGACGAAAUGGACGG